RNAcentral lists this ribosomal RNA (581 nucleotides) under Schwanniomyces vanrijiae var. yarrowii. Its description in RNAcentral is "eukaryotic LSU rRNA". It matches the Rfam family "Eukaryotic large subunit ribosomal RNA", at positions 62 to 659 of the family's 3401-position model. The record is from RNAcentral. Lineage: Eukaryota; Fungi; Ascomycota; Pichiomycetes; Serinales; Debaryomycetaceae.
AAACCAACAGGGAUUGCCUCAGUAACGGCGAGUGAAGCGGCAAAAGCUCAAAUUUGAAAUCUGGCACUUUCGGUGUCCGAGUUGUAAUUUGAAGAAGGUAACUUUGGAGUUGGCUCUUGUCUAUGUUCCUUGGAACAGGACGUCACAGAGGGUGAGAAUCCCGUGCGAUGAGAUGUCCAAUUCUAUGUAAAGUGCUUUCGAAGAGUCGAGUUGUUUGGGAAUGCAGCUCUAAGUGGGUGGUAAAUUCCAUCUAAAGCUAAAUAUUGGCGAGAGACCGAUAGCGAACAAGUACAGUGAUGGAAAGAUGAAAAGAACUUUGAAAAGAGAGUGAAAAAGUACGUGAAAUUGUUGAAAGGGAAGGGCUUGAGAUCAGACUUGGUAUUUUGCAAGCUUUACCUUCGUGGUGGAGUCCCCUGCAGUUUACUGGGCCAGCAUCGGUUUGGAUGGUAGGAUAAUGACUUGGGAAUGUGGCUUUGCUUCGGUAAAGUGUUAUAGCCCUUGUUGAUGCUACCUGUCUAGACCGAGGACUGCGUCUUUGACUAGGAUGUUGGCAUAAUGAUCUUAAGUCGCCCGUCUUGAAA